This 1239-nucleotide ribosomal RNA is filed under the name Triticum aestivum (bread wheat). RNAcentral's name for it is "partial small subunit ribosomal RNA". Lineage: Eukaryota; Viridiplantae; Streptophyta; Magnoliopsida; Poales; Poaceae. The record is from RNAcentral.
AUGGAGGCCCGACCCAGCAAAACCUUGGAUGAUCCCACGGCCGUCGUGCCCCGCCCUCCCUGGGUGCUGCUCGAUCGGCUCGGCCACCGCGAGGACCAGGCCGACGCCGACGCGGCCACCGUGGCGUCGUCCCGCACCUCCACCGGCACGGUCAUCAGCGUGUCGUUCCGGUUCGCCGCGCCACCGGCGACCUCCCGCCUCUACCUCCGUUGGCCGUCUGGACCGAGCAGGGAGGACUCGUCUUUCGCGUACCCCCGCGUCGUCGCCGCGCACGACGACUCCGUUCUCCUCCAGCUCACCGUUUCCUCCCGCAGCAUCGAUUACUUCCUCUACAAGGCGAGGGGCGCCCGGCCGCCGUCUCUGUCGCUGCUUCCCCGGUCCGCGCUCACCAGGAAGGGCAUCGGCAUCCUGCGCCGCCGCGGCGAGGGCGCGUUCGCCGUGGCCGAGCUCCGCACGGCUGGCGGCGACGGCACGCCGGUGGCGUUCGACCUCUGCGUGCUGCUCUCGCCGGGCCCCGGGCCGUCCGAGUCCGACAAGUGGGAGGUGAGGCGCGUGAAGGUCCUCGACGGCAGGGGCAAGGACCUGGCGCUGCAGUGCUGGGAAACCGACGCCGUCGUGCCCGUCGGCGGCCGGUUCCUGUGCUGGGUCGACUACUACCGUGGCAUCCUGGUCGGCCGCGUGUUCGCCGACGGCGGCUCCGCGCUCACGUACGUGCCGCUGCCCGUCGACACCCCAUGGGCGAAGCCCGACCACGGCCAGGAGUGCCCCGAGGCGUCCCGGAGCGUCUGCGUCACCGCCGGGGACACGGUGAAGUUCGUCAGCGUCGACCGCGGCCUGCUCUUCGUCUUCACCGUCACCAUCUGGACCCUGGGCAAGGCGCGGGACGGCAGCAUGGAGUGGGAGAAGGACGGCGAGUUCCGUGCCGCCGAGCUCUGGGCCUUCUCCGGCUACGAGCACCUCCCGCGUGUCCCGCCGGAGUACCCCGUCGUGAGCAUGGCCGACCCCGACGCGCUCUGCUUCAUGGUGAGCGAGGGACGCCACGGCCACGCUGGUGUCGAAGCCGGGGGAGACGACACGGUGUGGCUGGUCGAGGUCGACACGAGGCGCAGAGCGGUGCGGUCAGUGUCCCGCUUCUCCAAAGAAGAGACGAGGGACAUGUCAGGGCGUGCCUCCCUAAACAUGUUUCAUGGCCAUGCCUUCCUUCCCAGCGAGGUCACCACGUACGUACACGAGCAGUAG